Long non-coding RNA from Mus musculus (house mouse), 8034 nucleotides. RefSeq annotates it as predicted gene, 38983. The record is from RefSeq and is a predicted model, not a curated record. The transcript is spliced from 2 exons. Lineage: Eukaryota; Metazoa; Chordata; Mammalia; Rodentia; Muridae.
AACUCAUCCUGCUAUUGACAGUCGGAUAUAUGAGGGCUCUUAAGAGCUUCUCCAGUGUGGUGUUCCAAGCUCCCUGAAGGAAUGAGACAAGGCUGUUAGGACUGGGAACGACUGGAUAGGGCAAAGAUCGCCCUAUCUUUACUGGAAUAUUUAGUCUACUUACCACUCGAUAGCCACAAAUUUAAAUGUGCUGCAUUAGCCUGGGUUGAGCAUUGCAUGUUUGUAAUCCCAGCACUCAGGAGGCAGAAGCAGGAGAAUCAAGAGUUUUAAUGCCCGCCUCGGUUACAUAACAAGUUUGAAGCCAUGGUUACCUAACGACCUGUGUCCAUAAAGGAAAAUAAACAGAGAGAUGGUUCAGUUCUUAAGAGCAUCGUCUGUUCUGUUCCAAGCACUUAUGUUGGGCCAAUCAUGAACAUUUAUGUUGGAUCAAAUUUUAUGGAAUUCCAUAUGUAUGUAUGUAUAUGUAUAUAUAUAUAUAUAUAUAUAUAUAUUCUCACUCAUAUAAUGAGAAUUCAAUGUCGAUCAUACUGGCUUCAAACUCUGGCCCAUGUCUCUGCCUUCUGUUUGCUAUGAUUAAAAGUAUGCAUCACUGUGCCUCAAGUCUUGGUGGAUUUUGUUAUUGUUGGUUGAUUUUGUUGUUGUGGAAGCAGAGUUUUAUUAGGAAGACUGUCUCCGGGGGGAAGAGAGAGAGAGAGAGAGAGAGAGAGAGAGAGAGAGAGAGAGAGAGAGAGAGAGAGAGAGAGAGAGAGAGAGAGAAGAGAAUAUCUCGCUCACAAGAUCUAGGUUUACCGGCAGCCUGAAACCCAGAUUCCGCUUUUUGGAUUUCUAGGUUCCUGGUCUUUCCGGGACCUCCUGGGACCCUUUCUAGACAGAAUUCCCAGAGGAAUUCUCCGUGAAUCGGCUUAGAGCAGAUGUUGUGGCAGGGGUUACACGAAGGAGGAUUUGGUGCCCUGGCUUGUUUUUCCCACAAGGCACUGCGGCUUGGACUCCUCGGUUUGAACUACAUUUCCCAGAAAACAACGGGUGCAAGCAAUUUACAGUUCAGCCCCAGUCCCCAAACACCCCGCAGGGUUCUCAGUGCUCGGCAAAAUGAAUUCAACCUAAAUCCAAGGGCGGUGACAGGAGGAGGGCUCUAAACAAAUGUUUCAAAUUUGGAGUUCCUGAUUUGGACAUGGAGAAGCCGCCAGUUGUUACUGGAAUGUAGGCCUGUGGCUCCUGUAAAAGGAAGGGCAGUGGAAGGGCAUCCUGAGACAUGGGAGCUGAGGAACCUCAUAGCUCUGAGAGGAAGCCUCCUCAGCAGAAGAGUUGCAGCUCCCAGGGGAGGGUGUCCCCACCUGAGCUGAGGACCAGGAGCCUCAGCCCUGUAGGGAUAUUGGGGCCCCGCAUCUGCUCCACCACAGGGCUCAGCCACUCAGGGAGGCAGGACGCAGGAAGUUGACCAUGUUUAUUUACCGUGUUUAUUUAUACCAUCACCAGACAGGCCCGGGACAUGGCUCCAGGGGUGGGGAAGUGCAGUCUGAGGCACCGAUGGUUCUCAGGUUCUCGGACAUCCAGGUGCUGCUGGGAGACGCAGAAGACCUGAGAAUGGAGCGAGGCCCUGCAGGCUAGACCUAGCCUGGGACAGGUGUGUGUGUGUGUGUGUAGCUCCAGCUGGUCCCACAGGGAGAGAGUCCUUGACUUAGCAGCAGCAGUGGGGCUCGAGCUUGGCUUGGUGGCAACUGUGACUGGGAGUGCAGAGAGGCCUUCUAUGGGAGACUAGACUGUGGCUCCAUAGGUGAAAGCCCUCUCCAAGGCUUCCCACGGUGGAUCCCGAUGAAAAGAGGCAGUCCAUGGUUUUAAGGCAUUUAUUGUCAUGGUGAAAGUAGAUGAGUAAAACUGAAGUUAAAUACCAUUUGCAGGGAGGAGUGUCUGGGAAGGAAAGCUUAUUGGCUAAAGCCCUCCAGGCCUUUAAGUAACUCAUUAAAAUGGAGAUCUGUCUUGAGCCUACAUGACCACAGGUCAUGUCUUCUCCCUGUGGAGGGGCUUAGGGCAUUGCCUUUACAUGACUGGUGGACACAAAUCUAUGGGGAGCUUUGGCUAGUGACAGGGACCUGGUGCCGGGAGCAGGCGAAAUGCCUACCAUCCCUUCAAGGUCUCUGGAUUUUAAACCUUAGCUCAACUAGGGACCAAGCUGCCAUUCACGGUCCCACAUAGCCCCACUCCUUCCCUUUGCUUCUUUUGUUCUUUUUGUUGCUUCUUUUCUUCUUGCCUUCUUCCAAUGAAAGAGUCAAAACAGGCAGCAAAUCUCAUGAAAGAGAAUUUUUGGAGGGCCCAUGAUGCAGAGGAAGGAAUCUAGGAGUGGCUGCCUCUGCUUCCAGGAGUGAGCAACAGAGAAUUAAAGAGCGGGUCUUACUGAGGAUAUCUGAGGAGGCUUUUCAGGGCGGGGAUUUCCAGAUUGAGGAUUGGUGAAAUUUCAAGUCCUGAGCUUGAGGAAGUCAGAGAUUGGUGGGGUUUCCUGUUCAGGGAUUAGGGGCUCCCCCCCCAAUCCCCUUUCCCUGCAGGGCCCCAUGGGUUAGGGUGGAAAGUCUCACCUGGCUUUGGCUUUGGCUGAGGUGCCAUAUCUAUGGAUCUGCUCUGGGAGGCCGGAGAGGAGAGCCUGACUUUGUGGACAGCUCCUGCAGCGGUAUUUCAUCAGGGUUGUAGGCUGAGGCAGGAAAGACGGUAUCAUCACCACGGACAGCUCCUGGUGGGCGGGCAGCUCCUGUUGAGGUGGAAAGGAGAUGUGCCACUGCAGACAACUCCUGUGAAGGCUGCCAUUUUGACAGGAGCCACCAUUUUUGACAGCUCCGAGGUUGGGGUUGGGGUGGGGCAUCUCAUCUUGACCUUAGGAUAGAAUGGAAAGGAGGAGCCUUCCGCAGCUUUGAUAGCUUUUGAGGUGUGAUGCUUAGGGGCUACAGAAAGGCCUUUAAAAUGUGUGGAUACUUUACACAACACCAGAAAAUUCAUACUAGUAAAAAACGUUUCAAUUGUAAAGGAUUUGGGAAGGCUUUUAUUCCGCUUCCAUCUUUGCUCAACACCAGAGAAUCCACACUGAUAAGAAACCUCAUAUAAGUCAUUAGCAUGGGAGGUCCUACAGAUAUGGCUCACCCCUUAAUGUACAUCAAAGAAUUGGUGCGUCUGUGAAAAUCUAAGCAUAGAGGGAACACGAGGAAGCUUUGAAUGUGGCCCAAUUUUUUUCUUUCAUUUCAUGACUUCAUAGAAAUGCAACAAAAACUUCUGGUGAUGUUAUGGCGGCUUCUUGUUACUUCCUCAGACUCGGGCCGAUCGGCAGAGUGAUGUCAGACGAUACAGUGGAGUUUUGCUAAGACAGACUCAUGUGUUGUUUUGCUGAGGCAAGACACAUGGGUGGACAUGUGGUGUUUGGAGGUAGUAUAAAUAGGACUAGACAGACUGUGUGGAGCUUGCAUAGCUAGCUUGGCAACACUUUAUUGGUCUUGAGAUUUUGCUGAUCUUCACUUUGUUGAGAGCAGCAUGGCAGAGAACUUCUAGUGUCCCUGCUGGUCCUGGUGCAGAUUCAGCAGAGACCUGGCUGUCUCUGCUGUGUUGUGCCACCGCUGCUGAUUAGUGUUUGCUAUCCUGAUGCAACUGAACUGGACUGUUGGUAUAUAUCCUGUCAAUGCAGAUUGGAGUUGCUCCAAAGAACUAUUUAUAAACAGGUCCAUUUCCCCUGAAUCCAAAUAACUUUCCUUUUCUACUACCUAUGGUGGGUGGUGGGUUUUAAGACAGGUUAAAGAAUUUAAGAAACCUUAUUAAAAGUAGGCUUUUUUUUUUUUUUUUGAAAAAUGGAAUCCAGCAGGUGAUGCCCAACGUGACUUAGGCAUAAUGGGUAACUCUGCUUCUAAUGUAGAGGAAAUGGCAGGUUAUGAGGGGUUAGCAAUGUUGCUUAAGGAUAUUGGUGAAAUGGCAACUAGGUGGUCGCCUGCCUUGCUCCCAGAAGAGGAUUGUUUUUAUUUUGCUUCAUAUUUUUCAUGUAUACUAUUUUGAAAAACUUUAAGGAGAAACCUAACAAUUCUCUCCUGUUAGAGAAGAUUGCAGAGUUGACUAUGCACUUAGAGAGUUUGCUGACAGAGGUUGAAGUAUUUGGAAAACAAAGAGGACCCCUCCAAAAAAAAAAUGGAAGGAGAAAAACGUCAAGGCUUGGUGAACGAGAACAGGGAUUUACUGCAUGAUGAAAGCUGGAAGCAAACUAGGCUGGACGGUAAAUGGCUGCUGGGCCCUACUCCACGCACUCUUCCUGCCAAGCACCCAGAGCACCUCUGUGAAACUAGGGGCCAGGCAGAGUAGGGGAUUGGGAAAAUACAACUGGAUGGUGUUCAGCCAAGUGCAUCACCAGAGGAUUUGCUUGGACCUACACAGCUUCCUCAGCCUUCCCAGUCUUUGUACAACAUAUGUGUGCUAAUGAUGGUGGUUCUGCCUAUAAUGAAUUGACCUGGUAUCCGAUAGAAAUGCUAGAUCUCAAUUAUUUUAAAGAGGUUGUUAUAUGAUAUAGCUUACAUUCUCCUUUUGUUAAAUAACUGCUAAAUGCUAAGCACACAGCAUAGGGUUAUCCCACAAGAUUGGAAGCGAUUGGCGUCAGCUUUUCUAGAAGCUGGACAUCAAUUACAAUCGUUGUCAUGGUAGAGGCAAUGAAGCCACCACGAAAACAGAACAACAAAUAAAUGGGAUAAAUGUUACUAAAGAGCAGCUACUUGGUGAAGGGAGUUGUGCUGACCUACAACAAGAACAAAUCCAAUCUAAUGAUGGUUCAACUGAACAAUAUCAUGCUGCAGCUUUAAGAGCUUGGGAUAUAAUUGAGGAUCCUGGGGCCAGAGGGUAAGGAAUCUACUACAUUUACUAAAAUAAUACAGGGGUCUGGUGAAGCCUUUACAGAAUUCUUACAGAGGUUGGGUUCAGCUGUGAAGAGAGACAUAUUAGACCCUGAAACCAGACAGUCAUUGAUAGAAAUAUUGGCAUUUAAAAAUGCAAAUACCAAAUGCAUGAGGGCAAUCAGACUAUUGAAAGCUUGAAGAGCCCCAAUUGAAGUGGAAACUUAAGGGACCUUUGGAAAGUCAGUUGCAUCAGAUGGUGUUUUGGUAGGGUAAACACUUGAAGGAGUGUUUUCCUGAAGUGGACACAGGUGAAAGGAUGUUUUGCUAAAGCGAACACAUGAAAGGACAUGUAAAGAUUCUUUGCUAAGGACACACAUGUAUUGGUCCACCUUACAUUGUGUAGUUGAGCUGCAUCUGUUGGGACUCCAUAGAGAGAAACUCAUCAAACAAACAGACAAAAAACUUUUUGUGUUAUACUGCAGCUUCUUGCUACUUCUGCAGAAUGGGGCCCGGAUUGACAAAGUGAUAUCAGCUGAGACAGACUCACUUGGAGUUUUACUAAAAGACUUACAUGCUGAGUCAAGACUUGUGGUGAGGCAAGACCCAUGAAGGACACAUGAUGUUUGGAGGGAGUAUAAAUAGGACUCAACAGACUGUGAGAAUGGCUUAUUUAUAGAGCUAGCUGUGCGAUGCUUCUUGGUCUUACAUCUUUGCUGAUCUUUGCCUUAUUGAUCACAGACCCUGGAAAGUCCAGAGACUGGACAGACAACACACAACCGGAUAAACACAGACUGGGCAAGCUUUUUUCAAACUAACCAUUUUUUUCCUUGGAGUUCCAAAACAGGAAUUCUUUAUCCCAAUUCAACAGGAAGCAAAUAUAUAUAAGACCAUUGUCCCAAUCCCUUAAGUUGGGUUAGGUAGUUUUGGUUGCUUGAUGUGUUAUAAUUGUUAUUAUCUAAGGUGGAAGGUUGCUAUUGGUUAUGAUCAGGGAUUGAUAAAAAUUUAAAGCCAUUUUGUUUAACUACUGUAUAUUAAUAGAAAUUUAAGGUUUUUGUUUAGUUAUUGUAUAUUUAUAGAAAAAUAAAGUUGUUUUGUUUGAAUUAUUGUAUAUUAAUAUAAAUUUAAAGUUUUGUGUAAUUAUUGUAUAUUGAUAGGAAUCUAAGGUUAUUUUGUUGGACUACUGUUGACUAUGUUGUACAUAAGCCAUCUUAAAAAAUGUGAUGGUUCUUAUAAUUAUUUCUAUUGUAUAUAGAUUGUUAUUGUUAGAGAAAAUAAAAAAAUCUUUUUUUUUUUUUUUUUUUUUUUUUUUUGGAGACAGGGUUUCUUUGUGUAGCCCUGGCUGUCCUGGAACUCACUCUGUAGACCAGGCUGGCCUCAAACUCAGAAAUCCACCUGCCUCUGCCUCCCAAGUGCUGGGAUUAAAGGUGUGCAACACCACUGCGUGGCAUGAAAAUUCUUAAAUAGAAAGGGGAAUAUGAAGUGGAAACUUCUGGAGUUUUUUGAAAGUCAGUUGUGUCAAAUGAUAUUUUGCUGGGGCACACAGGCAAAAGGAUGCUUUGCUAAAGCAGACAUAUGAAAGAACAUUUUCGUGAAGCAGACACAGGUGAAAGCAUGUUUUGCUAAAGCAGACAACACGUGCAAGAAUGUCUGAUGUUAAGAAAGACCCAACACGGUGGAUGACCCUGGAUGGUAUUAGUAUGCCUGGCCAUUCCUUAAUGGUCAUCGUUUGUCAUGACUUCAUAGAAAGAAAUGCACCAAAAAAAAAAAAAAAACCUUCUGGUGGUGUUCUGGCAACUUCUUUCCACAUUCGUGGACUCCGGCCAAUUGGUAGAGUGGAGUAAAAGUUUCUGGAUAUGUCAGCUGAUACAGAAUCAUGUGGGAUUUUACUAAGGUAAGACCCAUGAGAGGACCCAUGUGAGGUUUGAGGGUGGCAGGGGGUUGCACAGCUAGUUUUAUGAUGCUUCGUUGGUCUCUCAUCUUCACUGAUCUUCACGUCAUUGAGAGAGGCAUGGCAGAGAACUUCUCCUGGCAUCCCUGCUGAUCCUGGUCACCCCUGCUGACUCAUGCAGAUUUGGCGGAGGCCUGGCUGUUUCUGCUUGGCCGUGCCACUACUGCUGAUUCAUGUUUGCUAUCCUAACACUACUGAACUUGAUAGACUGCUGGUAUCCUGACAAUUAGAGAUUAAAAUCACCCCAAAGAACUACUCCUAAACAGCAUAGAACAAAGCCUCAAGACUUCUAGACUGAGCUGCUUCUGUUGAUUCAUGCGAACUACACUUCUGAUAUCCCGACAACACAGAUUAGACUUGCUCCAAAGAACGAUUUCUAAAUAGUUUCACUUUCCCUGUGUACUGGCUAGUUUUGUGUCAACUUAUCACAGAGAAAGGAGCUUCAGUUGAGGAAAUGCCUCCAUGAGAUCCAACUCUAAGGCAUUUCCUCAAUUAGUGAUCAAGGGGGAAAGGCCCCUUGUGGGUAGGACCAUCUCUGGGCUGGUAGUCUUGGGUUCUAUAAGAAAGCAGGCUGAGCAAGCCAGGUGAAGCAAGCCAGUAAUGAACAUCCCUCCGUGGCCUCUGCAUCAGCUCCUGCUCCCUGACCUGCUUGAGUUCCAGUCCUGACUUCCUUUGGUGAUGAACAGCAGCAUGGAAGUAUAAGCCGAAUAAACCCUUUCCUCCCCAACUUGCUUCUUGGUCAUGAUGUUUGUGCAGGAAUAGAAACCCUGACUAAGACACCCUGUAUCCUAAUAACAUCCCCCUCCACUAUCUCUGGUGGGUGGUAGGUUAAAAGGGAGGUUAAAACAUUUAUGCAAAAUAAAUUUAUAAAAGAGGAGUAUGGACUGGUGCUAUAUUAUCAUAUAUCGGCUUUUGAUGUGAAUGAGGUGCAGUUUCCUUUAGAGAAUAAGGGCUGGUACCUUUCACACAUUAUGUCCACAGUGCAUCUAUUUAGAAUGAAUGGAAGCUGCUGUUCUAUUCAAGAUGAAUGGAAAUAGUUUUAAUGAUCCACAUGUACUUUGAAGUUCAGUAGAAAUAUUCGGCAGAAACAAUUAAGAGUAUAUCGAAACACCAUUUGUAAUAAAGAGUAAACUGAAAUCUCAAUGGAAAAGGUUUAGGUUUUGUUGUGUUAAAAUUGUUUUGGGGUUUCUACCCCACCUUUGAUCAUUUAGUUCCCAAAUAAAAGACACAAAACCUUUA